AGAGUUUGAUCCUGGCUCAGAACGAACGCUGGCGGCGUGCCUAACACAUGCAAGUCGUACGAGAAAAUCCGCUUCGGCGGGUGAGUAAAGUGGCGCACGGGUGAGUAACGCGUGGAUAAUCUGCCUUUAAGCGGGGAAUAACUUACCGAAAGGUGGGCUAAUACCCCAUAAAGCUAUGGAGCUCCGGUUUUCAUAGCCAAAGAGAGCCUCUGCAUGCAAGCCCUCACUUAGAGAUGAGUCCGCGUACCAUUAGCUAGUUGGUGGGGUAAUGGCCUACCAAGGCGACGAUGGUUAGCUGGUCUGAGAGGAUGAUCAGCCACACUGGAACUGAGACACGGUCCAGACUCCUACGGGAGGCAGCAGUGAGGAAUAUUGCGCAAUGGGGGCAACCCUGACGCAGCAACGCCGCGUGAGUGAGGAAGGUUUUCGGAUCGUAAAGCUCUGUCGGGUGGGAAGAAAUGUAUGGAGGUUAACAGCCUUUGUACUUGACGGUACCGCCAAAGGAAGCACCGGCUAACUCCGUGCCAGCAGCCGCGGUAAUACGGGGGGUGCUAGCGUUGUUCGGAAUCAUUGGGCGUAAAGAGCGUGUAGGCGGCUAGGCAAGUCAGAUGUGAAAUCCCUGGGCUUAACCCAGGACGUGCAUUUGAAACUGCUUGGCUUGAGUAGGGAAGAGGGAAGUGGAAUUCCUGGUGUAGAGGUGAAAUUCGUAGAUAUCAGGAGGAACACCGGUGGCGAAGGCGACUUCCUGGUCCUAUACUGACGCUGAGACGCGAGAGCGUGGGGAGCAAAACAGGAUUAGAUACCCUGGUAGUCCACGCCGUAAACG
Molecule: ribosomal RNA, 826 nt
Filed under: uncultured bacterium
Lineage: Bacteria
Description: bacterial SSU rRNA
Rfam family: Bacterial small subunit ribosomal RNA
Source: RNAcentral